This 497-nucleotide ribosomal RNA is filed under the name uncultured bacterium. Its description in RNAcentral is "partial 16S ribosomal RNA". It matches the Rfam family "Bacterial small subunit ribosomal RNA", at positions 28 to 507 of the family's 1533-position model. The record is from RNAcentral.
GAUGAACGCUGGCGGCGUGCCUAAUACAUGCAAGUCGAGCGAACAGACGAGGAGCUUGCUCCUCUGACGUUAGCGGCGGACGGGUGAGUAACACGUGGAUAACCUUCCUAUAAGACUGGGAUAACUUCGGGAAACCGGAGCUAAUACCGGAUAAUAUAUUGAACCGCAUGGUUCAAUAGUGAAAGACGGUUUUGCUGUCACUUAUAGAUGGAUCCACGCCGCAUUAGCUAGUUGGUAAGGUAACGGCUUACCAAGGCGACGAUGCGUAGCCGACCUGAGAGGGUGAUCGGCCACACUGGAACUGAGACACGGUCCAGACUCCUACGGGAGGCAGCAGUAGGGAAUCUUCCGCAAUGGGCGAAAGCCUGACGGAGCAACGCCGCGUGAGUGAUGAAGGUCUUCGGAUCGUAAAACUCUGUUAUUAGGGAAGAACAAAUGUGUAAGUAACUAUGCACGUCUUGACGGUACCUAAUCAGAAAGCCACGGCUAACUACGUG